Molecule: ribosomal RNA, 468 nt
Filed under: uncultured bacterium
Lineage: Bacteria
Description: partial 16S ribosomal RNA
Rfam family: Bacterial small subunit ribosomal RNA
Source: RNAcentral
GACGAACGCUGGCGGCGUGCUUAACACAUGCAAGUCGAACGGAAAGGCCCUGCCUUUGUGCGCUGCUCGAGUGGCGAACGGGUGAGUAACACGUGAGUUACCUGCCCUUGACUUUGGGAUAACUUCAGGAAACUGGGGCUAAUACCGGCUAGGAUCUAUUGCUGCUUGGUGGGCGUUGGAAAGUUUCGGCGGUUGGGGAUGGACUCGCGGCUUAUCAGCUUGUUGGUGGGGUAGUGGCUUACCAUGGCUUUGCCGGGUAGCCGGCCUGGGAGGGUGACCGGCCACAUUGGGACUGAGAUGCGGCCCAGACUCGUACGGGAGGCAGCGGUGGGGAAGAGUGUACAAGGGGCGGAAGCCUGGUGCAGCAACGCCGCGUGGGGGAAGAGGUCCUGCGGGUUGUAAACCGCUGUCGCCUGUGACGAGGCGUGAGUGACGGUACUGGGUAAAGAAGCACCGGCUAACUACGUG